RNAcentral lists this ribosomal RNA (463 nucleotides) under uncultured bacterium. RNAcentral describes it as "partial 16S ribosomal RNA". It matches the Rfam family "Bacterial small subunit ribosomal RNA", at positions 30 to 507 of the family's 1533-position model. The record is from RNAcentral.
UGACCGCUGGCGGCGUGCUUACCACAUGCAAGUCGAACGGAAAGGCUCCUGCUUGCAGGGGUACUCGAGUGGCGAACGGGUGAGUAACACGUGGGUGAUCUGCCCUGCACUUCGGGAUAAGCCUGGGAAACUGGGUCUAAUACCGGAUAGGACCACAUUUUGGAUGGUGUGGUGGAAAGUUUUUCGGUGUGGGAUGAGCUCGCGGCCUAUCAGCUUGUUGGUGGGGUAAUGGCCUACCAAGGCGUCGACGGGUAGCCGGCCUGAGAGGGUGUACGGCCACAUUGGGACUGAGAUACGGCCCAGACUCCUACGGGAGGCAGCAGUGGGGAAUAUUGCACAAUGGGCGCAAGCCUGAUGCAGCGACGCCGCGUGGGGGAUGACGGCCUUCGGGUUGUAAACUCCUUUCGCUAGGGACGAAGCGCAAGUGACGGUACCUGGAGAAGAAGCACCGGCUAACUACGUG